AGGUGUAGCAAUACACCGGAAGAUCUAGUGGCGAACGGGUGCGUAACACGUGAGGAACUUGUCCCGGUCUCUGGGAUAACAGUUGGAAACGACUGCUAAUACCGGAUGACGUCGGAGCAUCGCAUGGUGCGCUGACGAAAGGGUUACUGGAUCGGGAGAGCCUCGCGGCCUAUCAGCUUGUUGGUGGGGUAAUGGCCCACCAAGGCAUCGACGGGUAGCUGGUCUGAGAGGAUGAUCAGCCACACUGGGACUGAGACACGGCCCAGACUCCUACGGGAGGCAGCAGUGGGGAAUCUUGCGCAAUGGGCGAAAGCCUGACGCAGCAACGCCGCGUGCGGGAAGAAGGCUCUCGGGUUGUAAACCGCUUUCAGCAGGAACGAAAAUGACGGUACUUGCAGAAGAAGGUGCGGCCAACUACGUGCCAGCAGCCGCGGUGACACGUAGGCACCAAGUGUUGUCCGGAUUUAUUGGGCGUAAAGAGCUCGUAGGCGGUUCGGUAAGUUGGGUGUGAAAACUUUGGGCUUAACCCAAAGCCUGCAUCCGAUACUACUGUGACUAGAGUUCGGUAGGGGAGCGGGGAAUUCCUAGUGUAGCGGUGAAAUGCGCAAAUAUUAGGAGGAACACCGGUGGCGAAGGCGCCGCUCUGGGCCGAUACUGACGCUGAGGAGCGAAAGCGUGGGUAGCA
Molecule: ribosomal RNA, 685 nt
Filed under: uncultured Actinomycetes bacterium
Lineage: Bacteria; Bacillati; Actinomycetota; Actinomycetes
Description: bacterial SSU rRNA
Rfam family: Bacterial small subunit ribosomal RNA
Source: RNAcentral